AUACGUAGGUGACAAGCGUUAUCCGGAUUUACUGGGUGUAAAGGGCGUGUAGGCGGUUUAGCAAGUCAGAAGUGAAAUUCCCGGGCUUAACUUGGGCGCUGCUUCUGAAACUGCUUUACUUGAGUGCUGGAGAGGAUAGUGGAAUUCCUAGUGUAGCGGUAAAAUGCGCAGAUAUUAGGAGGAACACCGGUGGCGAAGGCGGCUAUCUGGACAGUAACUGACGCUGAGGCGCGAAAACACGGGGAGCAAACAGGAUUAGAUACCCUGGUAGUCCGUGCCGUAAACGAUGAAUACUAGGUGUAGGGGGUAUCGACUCCCUCUGUGCCGCAGUUAACACAUUAAGUAUUCCACCUGGGGAGUACGGCCGCAAGGUUGAAACUCAAAGGAAUUGACGGGG
This 397-nucleotide ribosomal RNA is filed under the name uncultured bacterium. RNAcentral's name for it is "partial 16S ribosomal RNA". It matches the Rfam family "Bacterial small subunit ribosomal RNA", at positions 523 to 918 of the family's 1533-position model. The record is from RNAcentral.